AACGAACGCUGGCGGCAGGCUUAACACAUGCAAGUCGAGCGCCCCGCAAGGGGAGCGGCAGACGGGUGAGUAACGCGUGGGAAUCUACCCAUCCCUACGGAAUAGCUCCGGGAAACUGGAAUUAAUACCGUAUACGCCCUACGGGGGAAAGAUUUAUCGGGGAUGGAUGAGCCCGCGUUGGAUUAGCUAGUUGGUGGGGUAAAGGCCUACCAAGGCGACGAUCCAUAGCUGGUCUGAGAGGAUGAUCAGCCACAUUGGGACUGGGACACGGCCCAGACUCCUACGGGAGGCAGCAGUGGGGAAUAUUGGACAAUGGGGGCAACCCUGAUCCAGCCAUGCCGCGUGAGUGAUGAAGGCCUUAGGGUUGUAAAGCUCUUUCACCGGGGAAGAUAAUGACGGUACCCGGAGAAGAAGCCCCGGCUAACUUCGUGCCAGCAGCCGCGGUAA
Molecule: ribosomal RNA, 447 nt
Filed under: uncultured bacterium
Lineage: Bacteria
Description: partial 16S ribosomal RNA
Rfam family: Bacterial small subunit ribosomal RNA
Source: RNAcentral